GCGAAUGGCUCAUUAAAUCAGUUAUCGUUUAUUUGAUAGUACCUUACUACUUGGAUAACCGUGGUAAUUCUAGAGCUAAUACAUGCUAAAAAUCCCGACUUCGGAAGGGAUGUAUUUAUUAGAUUAAAAACCAAUGCCCUUUGGGCUCACUGGUGAUUCAUGAUAACUUCUCGAAUCGCAUGGCCUUGCGCCGGCGAUGGUUCAUUCAAAUUUCUGCCCUAUCAACUUUCGACGGCUGGGUCUUGGCCAGCCAUGGUGACAACGGGUAACGGAGGGUUAGGGCUCGACCCCGGAGAAGGAGCCUGAGAAACGGCUACUACAUCCAAGGAAGGCAGCAGGCGCGCAAAUUACCCAAUCCCGACACGGGGAGGUAGUGACAAUACAUACUGAUACAGGGCUCUUUUGGGUCUUGUAAUUGGAAUGAGUACAAUUUAAAUCCCUUAACGAGGAACAAUUGGAGGGCAAGUCUGGUGCCAGCAGCCGCGGUAAUUCCAGCUCCAAUAGCGUAUAUUAAAGUUGUUGCGGUUAAAAAGCUCGUAGUUGAACCUUGGGCCUGGCUGGCCGGUCCGCCUCACCGCGUGCACUGGUACGGUCGGGCCUUUCCCUCUGGGGAACCGCAUGCCCUUCACUGGGUGUGUCGGGGAACCAGGACUUUUACUUUGAAAAAAUUAGAGUGUUCAAAGCAGGCUUAUGCUCGGAUACAUUAGCAUGGAAUAAUAGAAUAGGACGUGCGGUUCUAUUUUGUUGGUUUCUAGGACCGCCGUAAUGAUUAAUAGGGACAGUCGGGGGCAUCAGUAUUCAAUUGUCAGAGGUGAAAUUCUUGGAUUUAUUGAAGACUAACUACUGCGAAAGCAUUUGCCAAGGAUGUUUUCAUUAAUCAGGAACGAAAGUUAGGGGAUCGAAGACGAUCAGAUACCGUCGUAGUCUUAACCAUAAACUAUGCGAACUAGGGAUCGGACGAUGUUAUUAUUUGACUCGUUCGGCACCUUACACG
The sequence is a ribosomal RNA, 994 nucleotides long. It matches the Rfam family "Eukaryotic small subunit ribosomal RNA", at positions 89 to 1094 of the family's 1831-position model.